CCACUUGCUUUCUGAAUUUGCUUUCAGCCUAUAUAGGAAAGAUUUUCUCCCUCUGUCUUUACCAGAACGCUGUGGGAAUCUAAGUUGCUCCUAUCUUACCCCUGUACCUGAGCUGCUUUAGAAACCAGCACACCAAAUAUGAUGGAAGUAUAUAGGUCAGCCACAGAGACCCAACAUUGAUUUCCAGAAGUUAAACACACAGGAUUCUUCUGACUUGAGAUAUGUUUUGUGCAGUUCUCCCACACUGUAAGGUCUGGAAAACAUCAAGAAAUCUAAUUAUUUUCAGAGGAUGCUGAUCAGGAGAAGAAAAGAAGAGGAAAAAAAAAGCUUCCUGCAAUAAUUGAAACUGGCAUCAACUUUUAUAUAACUUCCAAAUAGUAGUGAUUGGAUCAAUAAAUGCCCACUGAACUCAAUAAAAGUUACAAAAUCUGUCUACACUUACCCCAUGA
Molecule: long non-coding RNA, 449 nt
Filed under: Chinchilla lanigera (long-tailed chinchilla)
Lineage: Eukaryota; Metazoa; Chordata; Mammalia; Rodentia; Chinchillidae
Description: lncRNA (ENSCLAG00000026719.1)
Source: RNAcentral